UGACACAUCUCUGGAGAGUGCCAAUAGGGCCACCAAAGGGGUAACCUUCCUGGUUGCAAAGGAGGGGAAACUCUCAGGUAGAAGGACAGAGCAUUGUGA
This 99-nucleotide non-coding RNA is filed under the name Novibacillus thermophilus. Its description in RNAcentral is "Glycine sequence". It matches the Rfam family "Glycine riboswitch aptamer". From Rfam's summary of the family: This family represents the bacterial glycine riboswitch. Glycine riboswitches usually consist of two metabolite-binding aptamers domains with similar structures in tandem. The aptamers cooperatively bind glycine to regulate the expression of downstream genes. The record is from RNAcentral. Lineage: Bacteria; Bacillati; Bacillota; Bacilli; Caryophanales; Thermoactinomycetaceae.